UACGGAGGGGGCUAGCGUUGUUCGGAAUUACUGGGCGUAAAGCGCGCGUAGGCGGACCUGCAAGUCGGGGGUGAAAGCCCGAGGCUCAACCUCGGAACUGCCUUCGAUACUGCGGGUCUCGAGUCCGGGAGAGGUGAGUGGAAUUCCUAGUGUAGAGGUGAAAUUCGUAGAUAUCAGGAGGAACACCAAUGGCGAAGGCAGCUCGCUGGGACGGUACUGACGCUGAGGCGCGAAGGCGUGGGGAGCGAACGGG
RNAcentral lists this ribosomal RNA (253 nucleotides) under uncultured bacterium. RNAcentral's name for it is "partial 16S ribosomal RNA". It matches the Rfam family "Bacterial small subunit ribosomal RNA", at positions 524 to 776 of the family's 1533-position model. The record is from RNAcentral.